RNAcentral lists this ribosomal RNA (457 nucleotides) under uncultured bacterium. RNAcentral's name for it is "partial 16S ribosomal RNA". It matches the Rfam family "Bacterial small subunit ribosomal RNA", at positions 339 to 795 of the family's 1533-position model. The record is from RNAcentral.
CUACGGGAUGCUCCAGUGAGGAAUAUUGGUCAAUGGGCGCGAGCCUGAACCAGCCAUCCCGCGUGCAGGAUGACGGCCCUAUGGGUUGUAAACUGCUUUUCUAUGCCAAGAAACCUGAUUACAUGUAAUCAGUUGCCGGUAGCAUAGGAAUAAGCAUCGGCUAACUCCGUGCCAGCAGCCGCGGUAAUACGGAGGAUGCAAGCGUUAUCCGGAUUCAUUGGGUUUAAAGGGUGCGCAGGUGGGCUUGUAAGUCAGUGGUGAAAUGCUGCCGCUUAACGGUAGAACUGCCAUUGAUACUGGAGUGUUGAGUAUGGUUGAGGUAGGCGGAAUGUGUUGUGUAGCGGUGAAAUGCAUAGAUAUGACACAGAACGCCAAUUGCGAAGGCAGCUUACUAAGCCAUUACUGACGCUGAGGCACGAAAGCGUGGGGAGCGAACAGGAUUAGAUACCGAGUAGUC